This is a long non-coding RNA of Chinchilla lanigera (long-tailed chinchilla), 6610 nucleotides long. RefSeq lists it as uncharacterized. The transcript has 4 exons. The record is from RefSeq and is a predicted model, not a curated record. NCBI's taxonomy places the organism in Eukaryota, Metazoa, Chordata, Mammalia, Rodentia, Chinchillidae.
GGGGCUGGGCCGGGGGGUCCUCGUGGGGAAGGAGGGAGCUGGGAGGGGCCGCGGCUGCCGUCUCCUCUUCCGCUGUCUACAGCAGGGCAGGGGGUUUAUUUUCUUUCUUUGCUUCACAUUGACAGGAACCGAGAUUUGGUUUCAUUUAACGUUUCACCCAAUCACCCGAAAUGUAAAAACUGAACAAACAGUCUGAUCCGCACUUUCCACACUCCUUCUUGUGGUGCCGGAGCAGAGCUGUUAAAACAAACACAGGAGACAUGCGGGCGGGGCCCGGCUACCUACCGGCGGGCGCUCUGUCCCCUCGCCGCCCCUGCAGCCUCUCCGGCCUCCUUCGGCUCCCUCCUGCCCGAGCAGGGACAGCAGGUCCUGAGGACUGCGCCGCUCACACCCGAGACCAAGGGGUCUCACGGGUCCGCAGGAGGCGACAGUCAGCUUAGGGCUUUGCCCGACGCCUCGCUCAGAUUCCUGAGCGCCCAGCACGCUCUGUCGCGGUGACUUCACGCUGGCCCCGUCCUGCUCCCCCCGGCUCCUGGGUGGAUUCGAGGGUCACUUCGGUCAAGUCUUUGCCCAAGCGUGACCGUUCGGAGAGGCUUUCGCCAGCCCAGCCAGGAGAAGGAACCGCCUUGCAGGGAGCUGAACACUUUACUUUCGCUCUGGCAACUGCUGUUCUAAGGCAAAGGCUCCAGUCUGGGGCCAGGCCGUGCCUUUGGUGGCCUGGGAUGAGUUCAGAGGCUCAGAGACCUGCGGCAUCCUUCUCAGGCCAUAGCCGUCCUGGUUCACCAGGCGCUGAGCAGCCAGCCACAUCCGUAGGGCUUCCGUGCUUUCCAACAACACACGAUUCCUGGAGCUGAAAGCAAGAUAAGCCCUGGGGCUCUGGCAAGACUGGCAGACCCUGAGCCUCAGCUGCCUGUCUCCUGGCGUGGUGAGUCUGAACACUGUGGGCGGAACAUGGCUCAGAGGAGCACACUCCUACAUGCGGGGUUACAGCCUUCUCCUCGGCCACUGCACAGCGCGGUCCCAGGAGUGCACCCGCCAAGGACAGCACACCCUGGUGCGGCACUGGCCCCAUGAGCGAACGUAUCCCCGAGCAGCAGAGAGUGUGACAGCGCUUUAGGAACUGCAGAAGGGCAGAAUCCCACCAGACUUCCUGUUUACUGCACAGCACUGCUUCCUACAGUUGGUGUCAUGCAGACGUUUGCUUCUCACCCUGGUGGCGAAACUCUUUCUUCAUUACUGAGGGAAACUUAUUGUAGGCUCACAAAGUCUUAGUCAGACGGGUCUACCGCACCCAGCGCCAGCCUCGCGCACACACUUCCUGCUGCGCCGCGCCCAGCUGGGGGCAGUGCGUCCGUGAACAGCGAUCACCCGCAAAGGCUGCAGCCCCUGAGGGGGAGGAAACAGCUCUGCGACAAGCGUGUGACACAGGCAGGCUGAGGGCCCACACGGGAGCGCGAGGCUGACGCCACAGCUUGUACAUGAGGGGCAACUGUGAGACUGACUGGGAAUUGAAGCUCUUUGCAAGAAUUUGCCACAGGGUAGCAGCUGCCGUCCACCUACUGCCAAUCCUUUAUAUCUUAACGCUUUACUGUUUGAAACAAAACCCACCUACGUUCUCAAGCUGUCCUCCACAACUCAGCCCCAGAAAUUCUGGGUCUGGAAGCCUGUUUUCCAUGGUAUGAGGACAGACACCACAGUGGGUCUCAACAUCUGCCUGAUGGGCUAAGAUUCCCUCUCCGCUCAACCCCAACUUCCUAUAUAGACAAAUUUGAUUUUGGAGUCCAACCACUACCAGAAUCCCAGCUCUGCCUCUCACUGACCACAGAAACGUAAGGAAGGUGCUUAGCCACAACUUGUUAUCCGCAACCUGGGCUUGCAGUUGGCUCAUUUCAGCAUCAGUGAGAUGAUGCAGGCAUGACAAAGGGCUCGACAAUGGAAGCGAGAACGGCUCCGAAUGAAGCCCUGAAUCACCCUAAGGUAAGACUGCCGGAGUUUGGAUCUGGUAUGACCCCAAAAGCCAAUGUGCUGCAGGUUGGUCUCCAGCCCGUGGCACUGUCAGUGGAACCUGGACCAGAGGAGGUCAGCUGGGAGCAGGUUUGGUCCCUGCGGUGUGCCACCGAAGGGGACACCACCCCUCCAUCCAGCCCCUCCGCUACCACAAGGUGAGUAGGCUUUGUCUCCCAUGUGCCCGACCACAGGCCCCAAACCCCAAAGGCAAGCAACCACGGACUGAGACCUCUGCAGCCAUCAGCCAAAAUCAACCUUCCCUCAUCAAGUUGCCGAGCUCAGGUAUUUUGUCAGAGGGGAGAAAGCUGACCAAAGACUUGGUGCAGCACAGAAAAGGCCAGACGCUCUUUAUUCUGUGGGGCAGAAAGUGACAAGGAGGAAGGUAACAGCCCGGCCUGUACAAGACCCUACGUUAUCUGGAAAGACACAGGUAACUCACACGCACAGUGUUCAGCCAAAAUAGAACGUAACCAUGACGCCUGGGAAAGCAGGUGUUUACUGAAAGCCAGGCUAAUCUGCUUUAAAACGUCAGCCCUCCAUCAGCAGGGACGUCACCGGCCCUGCCCACUGCUCCAUCUGCAACACUGAGGUGCGCACUGGUGGGCACUUAGUUGGUGACGGAGACACGCCUGAGGGCAGGGAGAUGAGAGCACCGUAUGCGGAGCUGGUGGAAGGCACUGUGCGUGGAUGUGCAGACCUGGGUCUGAACCUCGGCCCUGUAACGAGGCCUUGUGUCCUCCCCUCUCAUGUGCCCGACCACGGGACCCCGGCUGGGGUCCUCUCCACCCUCAGCUGCCUCACCUGGGAAAGGGCUGCAUGGUCCCUGCUGGCCACGUUUGGCACGCAUACAAAUAUGCACAAGUGCACGUUCUGUCUGAAAAAGAACGACCACAGCCCACGAUGAACAGCAGCUUCCUGUCUGGAAGCUUCAGGACAGGUACGAAAUUGGACAGGUGGAAAGGAAUAAUGUCGCACAUACCCACCCUUAUGUCCCUUAACUUGGGCUCCAAAACCAAUAGUGGUGUCCGAGGAAUAACAGGGUGCACGGUUGUUUUUCUUUCCUGCCAUGGAAACCGACGGCCCAUGCUCCGCUGCUGUUAACAAGAUCAAUAAACUUGCCACAUUCAGAAAUUGACAAUUAAUCCCUUCACAGCACUUAAAGGCACAGGCCGCUGUACUUUAUACGGCCAAGCAGGCGGAGCACAUGGUUUUUAUUAUCAACCUCCCCCCUUUAAACACACACACACACACACACACACACACACACACACGCAAAGCCCCACUGCUAAUAAUUUUGCACCUUCUAGAACCGUCCGGGCUGAUUGUGAGGGGCUUCCCUGCCUGCUGCUCGGGGAGCGCCGCUGCCUCUGGUGCUGCUCCUCUUUCUGCAGGUUUAUGGUUUUGAGCUAUGGUGAGAAGCAUUUUGGGGCAGGCAGAGAUUUAUUCCCCUUUCUCAUGUUUUUACUAGGCUGAAUAAACACACUUGCGGAGAACGAAACCCAGGGCCACCGUGGGAUUUUGGAAAGCUCGGGAAUAAAACUGGCUUGGAAGCCAGCAGCCAGCACCUGCACAACCCGACGCAAGGAGACCUGGCUUGUGGUGUGGACCUCUUAAGGUGUCUCCAAGUCACACUUCAAGGUCCCCUACAUAAAGAGCUCUGUCCUGUUCAAGGACAUGGGCGGCGUUUGCAAUCCCAAGUCACACUUGCAGACAAAUCAACUGGCGGCUGUGCUGAAACCUCCUGGCUCCUUCUCCCAGUUGUGUAGCUUUUGUCUCCCUGACUCCAGCAUGAACCUCUCAGGAACCGGCUCCGAGCCACACUUGGCUGCACGUAAUGUCACCGAGGAGCAUUCCGGUCCUGCCCCUGCUCUGAUCUUCUGGUCGUGUCCCUGAGAUGCUGUCAGGCUGCACCCACUACUGAAGCAAUUAUUUCCACGGGAAAAACACGCUGGGCCCGUGCACCUUCAGACUUGCAGGAAUAGCGAUUUUUUGGCAGGAAUGUUCUUGAUAAAGGUCUCCUUUGUAGCUGCAGUGCUGAAGGCUGUAAUAGCUCUCAGCCUGAAUAGCACCGCACAACCCAGCCCGAGCACACAGAGCCUUUCUUCUCCCACCCCCAGUGCUGAUGCCGCACACAGUGCUCCUCAGGCAUUUUAUCACCUCCACCGCCCAUGGCUGUGACAGAGGACAAUGCCACCCAGACAUCGCAAAGGGACAGCUACAGACGAGCUCUUUUUCUAUUUCUAUGAGUAUUGACUUGGCCAAAGCAGACCUCGCGAUUCCAGUCUGUUUUUCAGGGUCCCGAGGUUAUGGUUGAGCUGGGAGAACUCAAGCUGUGAGGGCAAAGUCAACCAUGAUUAGUCCUUUCUUGGCCAUCAGAGUCAUAGAGUCCUUUGGACCAGUGACACAGUCUCAUGCAUUGAAGGUGAGAUUUUACUCUGCCCGCCCCACUGGGUAAGGGAUAUUUCCACAGGCACAGCAGCAACUCCUGACCCUCACUCCCUGCGAACAAAUGUCUGUCCACCCCGUUCUCUUAUUCUGGAGGUGGGCUUCUCACCUCACAGUGCUGAGGGCCUCGGAAGUGUGCAGGUCUUCACCGCCACGGGUCGCCCUUCGUCCCACCCAUCUCUGCUGUCCAAGUUUCAGAGAAGAGGCUGCUCUCUCUUCUUCCUGAAAUCUAACCCCACUCCUGGUCUCAGUAGCUGUCCUCUCCCCACUGCUCCUGGGAUUUUAAUACCCUCUGGUUACUUUUAAAGACCUCUUCCAGAAAUGGUCCAGUCUUCCUGAAGCCCUACACACACACACACACACACACACACACACACACACACACACACACACGGGCCUUGGACGUCACUGCUUCUGCUUAGCUCAGUUUCUUUCCUUCCCUUCACAGUCAAACAUUUUCAAUACAGGUCCACUGAUAUUACCUCCUGUUACUUCCUACUAAAUUUCCUUCUUCAUUCUCGUAAAGUUGGCGCCUAUUCCUGUUCUUUCUUGGACAUGACCCCUUGACAAUCAGCGCAUCUUCCAAUUCUACCUGCAGGAUCUCAGUCCUGAUUCAGAUUUUCUUUGUUGAUUAAAUGUCCUUUUUUUGGCACAGGGAAUUGAACUCAGGACCUUGAGUUGGCCAGGCAGGCCCUGUGCCACUGAGCAAAUCCGCAGCCCUCAGAUUUUCUUUGGGGUGUCUGUCUUUGGGGUGUUCCUCCGUCCUUGGAAACCUCUCCCCUCCGUCAUGGCUUCUAAUGAUCCUUGCUGGGUUUUCCUUCUCUUAUUCAAUAACUUUCUCUUUCCUACCUGGAAUUCACUUCCCAGUUACAAGGCUUCACUUCCUCCCAAGUAUGAGCUUGGUCCCCCAUUCCUCUCUCUGCUUACACUGUCAGGGGGGCUCUUGGGGUUCCCUCAUCCCUCAGUCCUGGCUGCCUCAAGACUGUAGAAUUCUACCUGGAUACACAGGCAUCACCUGUGCUGGAUCCCCCAGAAAGCAGAUGCCAAGAUGGAGAUCAAAGGACAGGUGAUUUCUGGGAGUGAUGCUGGCAGAAGAGGAGGAGGGAGAGACCACAGAGGGCAGGCGCCUCGACCAGGCCUGCCGUCUGAGUGGGGCGGGGAGAAGGAAGGCACUACAGCUCUGAGGUCGCCAGUGAGAGGUGGUCCAGAGGGUGGGACGGUGCGGCUCUCAGGCCUCCUCCAGCUCAGGCACUGGCUGGGAGCUGCCGGGCAGGGUGACCUGGACCUGACCUGCUGACAAACCCCAGCGGCCUCCGUGGAGGCUGCAGGUGACCCCCCUGCUCAGAGCAGACUUCCUCUAGGGCAAGUUGGCAACGGGCGCACUACGCCAGACCCGACCUUUCCUCCCUCCUGCCACACUUCCGUUUGUGCUUCCCCGCCUUUGGCAUCUCCCAAGCCACAGAGCUUCAGGUAACCUUUAUUUUCCGUUCCCCUCAUCUCUCACAGUGUGCAGCUCUGAAUCCCUUCGGAGGCCCUCUCAGCUCGCUCCUUCCCUCUCCUUUCCGGUCCAGUCUGUCUGGGUCACCACCCCCUGCGACGGCUGCCACGGCUGGGCCCCUUCUCUGGCUCCUCUUUCUCGCUCAUUCCCUAGACAUUGGGGCUUCCCAGGCCUAAUCCCUGGGUCCCAGCUUGUCUUACAUCACGGGCUUGUCCUAGCCGGUCCUACCCAUUAAUCAAUCUCCACCGAGACAUCCACAGUUCUAAAAUUUUUAUCUCUACGCCCAGUGCUGUGCAGAGCUCUAAAUAAACAUUUCUCAAACUUGAAGGUUAUAUGUUCUGCUUUUAAAGGGAAAAGAAUUAUUGUUUACCUCAGCAUUAAAUUCUUUUACUUAAAAUGUUAUAUACGUACUGACAUAAAGCUAAGUGUAAGCCCUUGAUAAUAAUUUGAAUUCUCACAGACAUUUUUCUACACAUUUUCUAUAGUUGAGCUCAUACUCUAAAUAUAUAUAUAUGUAGUAUUGUAUAUUGUCUCUUACUCUUGACAGUAGAGCAUACACAUUCUUGUUCAAUAAAACACUUGAUGAACAUUUUUUGGGAUGUAUAAUAUUCCAUUUGGUAGAUAAAAUUAAUCUAUUUCAUAAUGACUCUAAAUAAUGAA